GACACGACGCCGGCCGGGGCCGCGCGGAUCUGCCGAGUCCGCGCGGCCCCGGCCGCUGCUGCCGGGUACACGCUCAGCCGUGCGUCGUGAUCCC
This 94-nucleotide transfer RNA is filed under the name Micromonospora sp. MW-13. RNAcentral's name for it is "tRNA-Gly". Lineage: Bacteria; Bacillati; Actinomycetota; Actinomycetes; Micromonosporales; Micromonosporaceae. The record is from RNAcentral.